CUAUGCAUUCCCAAGUGUGAUGGUGGUAUGGGAUUCAGAGACCUUCACUCAUUUAACUUGGCACUUCUUGCAAAACAAUGUUGGAGAAUGAUUGUGAAUCCUGAAUCUUUUUGUGCUCGGAUCCUGAAGGCAAAAUAUCCGAAUACUGAUCUAUUACAUGCUGGACCAAAAAAUGGCUCCUCGUUCACUUGGCAGAGUAUUCUGGCUGGCUUAAAUACCUUCAAAAGAGGAUACGUUUGGCGUAUUGGAUCAAGGGAGAAUGUAAAUAUUUGGAGGGAUCCUUGGAUUCCUUCAAGUCCAGACAGGAGAGUUAUAACACCUCGAGGCCAUACAGUGAUCUCAAGGGUGGUCGAACUAAUUGACCCAAUCACUACACAAUGGGAUGAGGUUCUGAUUAGAGAUAUCUUUUAUCCAGUGGACGCUACAAGGAUUCUGCAGAUACCACUAAACUUUCAGGACUUUGAUGAUUUCAUCACGUGGCACCUCACAAAGCAUGGAAGAUUUUCGAUUCGAAGUGCAUAUCAUGAGCAAUGGUCUCACAAGUACAGGAGCCAAUCUCAUGGAAAUGUGACAUCAACUAGCACCAUUCAAGCUGUGAUCUGGAAGCAUCGUUGGGAAUUACAAGUGCCACGAAAAAUUCAAAUCUUCUGCUGGCGUGCUCUUCGGGGUAUCAUCCCGUUAAACUCCAUACUAGCUAAUAGACAUAUACCCAUCAGUGGGGCAUGUCCAGUAUGCCACAAGGGGCCUGAAGAUAUGCUACAUAUGUUGUUUCAAUGUGAUCUGGCGAGGAGUCUGUGGUCUGGUCUUGGUCUUCUUGACCACAUCAAUCAUGCAAUACAGAUAGAUAGAUCAGGAUCAACUACUUUGGAAUUCAUUCUCGUGGAACCAGAUUCACCGCUGGAGAUCAUGCCAAAUGUUAACCAAAAGGAAGCUAUUGCAGCAGGAUGCUGGUACUUAUGGUGGCUGCGCCGACGCCAUACACACCAUGACUCAUGCCCUCCUGCUUUUCGGUGGCCUAUUUCGGUCUUAAGCUUGAUUGGAAAUUACAAGUAA
RNAcentral lists this ribosomal RNA (1053 nucleotides) under Triticum aestivum (bread wheat). RNAcentral's name for it is "partial small subunit ribosomal RNA". Lineage: Eukaryota; Viridiplantae; Streptophyta; Magnoliopsida; Poales; Poaceae. The record is from RNAcentral.